Molecule: ribosomal RNA, 422 nt
Filed under: uncultured archaeon
Lineage: Archaea
Description: partial 16S ribosomal RNA
Rfam family: Archaeal small subunit ribosomal RNA
Source: RNAcentral
CUACGGGGGGCAGCAGGCGCGAAACCUUUACAAUGCACGCAAGUGUGAUAAGGGAAUUCCCCGUGCUCAUGCAUUGCAUGGGCUUUUACUUAGUGUAAAUAGCUUUGUGAAUAAGUGGUGGGUAAGACUGGUGCCAGCCGCCGCGGUAACACCAGCGCCACGAGUGGUGACCACGUUUAUUGGGCCUAAAGCGUCCGUAGCCGGUUUGGUAAGUCUUUUGUGAAAUUGUUGGGCUUAACCCAACAGCGUGCAAGAGAUACUGCUAGACUUGAGACCGGGAGGAGUCAGAAGUAUUCCAGGGGGAGCGGUAAAAUGUUAUAAUCCCUGGAGGACUACCUGUGGCGAAGGCGUCUGACCAGAACGGAUCUGACGGUGAGGGACGAAAGCCAGGGGAGCGAACCGGAUUAGAUACCCCAGUAGUC